CAUUACAUAUUUGUUUACAACCCAAGAACCACCUUUGUAUGUGUUAACUGGUGCUUGUUUGCAUUUUCUGAAUUAUGCUCCUUACAGACCAUAACAAAAUGACAACAGUCACGGCCGCAUAUUGUUAUGUACACUAUUUAUUUUACUUUUUUUUCAUUAUUUCUUUUUAUUAUUACUUUUUAAUAUUUUAGCAAUGCACCCUUUAGAAGUUGGUGCCCCAAGCAGCAGCCUGUGUAGCCUACACCAAAAGACAGCUCUGUGAUUUAUUCAUUUAUUCCUUUUCAUGCACUUAAGUACAAAUGGCCAUGAAUUUAUUUUUGAGGAGACUAGUCAUAAAACUAUUCAUGGCUAUUUCCAUGCUUUUUCUUCAUGCUGACCUUGUUUGGGUGCUGUGCGCAAUCCCAAUGCAUGAAAUAAAUUCUUGCAAUUUGAGGGUUAAAGUAACAAAUUACCAAAUCCCAGACAAUUCAAAUAUUGCAUAAAUCAAUUAAAAGGCUUUUCAUAUGGAAACAUUGACAUUAUACUUUAAAAGGUCAAAAUAAAACUGAAAAGCUGAGGCUUCAUCUUUUUUUCAUGAAAAAUCACUCGUCACCGGCUGUAUGUUGUUAGCUCAUUAAACUCUGAUUGGGCAGAGCUGGUCUCUGGUAACAUUUAUUAGUCGUCGUGCUGUCAUGGUUUUCACUGCUGAUCUGCAACAUGCUGUCUCGUCACGUCCUCCAAGGGGUUUCCCUCUUGGCCUUGCUUAUUCUGGAUGCUCAUGGUGUUCCUGUCAAAGG
Fundulus heteroclitus (mummichog) is the source of this 776-nucleotide long non-coding RNA. RefSeq lists it as uncharacterized. The transcript is spliced from 2 exons. NCBI's taxonomy places the organism in Eukaryota, Metazoa, Chordata, Actinopteri, Cyprinodontiformes, Fundulidae. The record is from RefSeq and is a predicted model, not a curated record.